CAUUGUCGUCUUCAACCCAGUUCAAAUUUCCUUGCAUUGUUGAAUAUUUGAGCUUUUGCUCUGGUUUUGGUUAAUGAGAAUUGACUCUCACUAACUCUCAGAUUGAGAUGUUUAGCUGGGAUAUUUCUUAAUAUGAAUUUGAUACUGCAUCACUUUGGCUACUGGUGCUGCUCCGUUUCGGUGUGUUCCAAAUCCGUUUGAAAUAGGAGUGUGCUUCUGACCUUCUACAUAAUAAAGAGGCGGUUGGAGAAGCUUCCAAUUUUAGAAUAAUUGAAUUUAGGAUGACUCUUUGGUUUUAGAAAUUAUUUCCUAUGAGAAUUUUGAUUUCUGAAGCUGAGUUCGUUAAGGUUGAUCCCACUGGUCGGUGAAAAACGUGUUAUGGCAACGUCAUUACCCUCUUACCAUGAUUGUUGUAUAAGUGUUCGACGAAAUGACACAGUAACAAAACUGCUUGUACUAGAAGUUAGAACUGAGCUAAAAAUUGGUUUCUUUUCUUUUCAGUUUCCGUUGCUUUCUUAAAAUUAUUUAUGAUUUUUCUUUGCCACUUGGAUUAUUUUUUGGAUUAUGCUUUGAUAAGUUGACACUACAAUGCAAAAAAGUGAGUGUUAUUAUUUUGUUUCAUCUGGAUUUAAGUGUCAUCCUUAUAGCUAAUUGGACAAACUCCCACCUGGAUGCAUUGUGCUUCGAUCUUAAAUCCAGAUUGUUGUGCUAAAAUUACUCAAUAUAUGUUGAUUUUUUAUGCUUAUGAUUAUUUUGAUGUUGGGAUUAAUGAGACCUUUUCAGCUCCAGUCGGAGUUUCAAAUUUUCCGCAUAGUUGUUGUAAUUAUGUCUAAUCUCCUUGAGAAGGGAAUGCUCCCUUGGUCAAGAUUAAAGAGAUUUAAUCUACUUGCUCAAAUCCCUAAUAAGCCACUGUCGGUUUUUCAUUUUUCUUUUAGAUCAUUUUAGCUGAUUCAAUCUAUCUUUCUAAAUUGAAAUUGAAAUUGAAAUUGAAAGAGUUGUUAAGCGUUAUUAAUGAUCAUCCUUUUCCUGAUCAACCACUUCAGUCUACCCUUCUCCAGCAUGUCCCACCACCUGACCUUUCCACCAUCUUUGAGGGGAAUGUUCUGGGUUGCCUCUUUGCAGCCAUUCCAAUGGUCUAAGUUUAGAUGCUUUUGGAAAUAGACUGCUUAUUCUCACAAGGAUGUGGUAUUUUGAUAAAACUUGGGAGUUGAUAGCGAGAAUCAGAAGCACACAUCCUUCAUUGCUGACUCUUAAAUCAAUUACUAUUAUCUUGUUAAAGAUUUCAAAUUGUCAAUCUUAUGAAGCUAUACGGGAAACAUUUGAAGAGAUGUAGAAUGAUAGAUUUGUUGGAUCAAUGAGUUUAAUUACUUGUUCAGGCAUUUUGAACACAGAGGCAGAUGAAGGGGACACAACCUGUGUUCCAAAAGAUGCAUUUUUUAUUUUCUCUGGAUAUAAAGACCAUGAAUGUCUUUCUUGCUUUUAGUGUUCAAUGAAUCAGGAGAUAUUACUGCAAUAUAACUUUUCUACCAAGAGAUGGUUAGAAGAAGUUUUAAGCCUUGUAACUUAUAAGUUGUAACAUCAGAAUUGAUGCUUACUGUAAAUUGGCGAUGUUUUGAGACUUUUGAAGAAAUAAAACAAGCAAAUAUGAAAGUGUAGGCAUAUCGGUUUGAGCCAAAUACUUUUCUUCACAAAAUUGGUUCUGUCCAUUUGUUGUUUAUUUUGUUAUGAGCUCUUUGCAUUAUAGAUUGACGGCUUGAAGUGUAGGGAUUCAAAAGUAGUUUAUGUAUUGGUUCAGCUGUGUCGCUUUGAAUUCUGUAACUAAGAGAAUAAGCUGCUUAAUAUGUUUUCUGCAUCUAUACAGUUUAUGCAAAAUAAAUUAGGCUUGUUUUGAUAACUGAUCAAUUCGUUUUUUAACUCAAUUCUAUAUUUUUUAUUAGUAUUCUUUCUCCUUAUGUAUCUAAUAGCUAUUGUUUUCUUUACCUUGUUUUUCUGGGACUGAGUAAUAUUAUUUGAGUGUUUCUCUCCAUUUUCUGGAAUUGGUAUGCUUCUUUUUGAUUAAAUGUUGUUUAAUGAAUUUUGUUAGAAAGGAGAUUAUACCAUUUGAAAAUUGGAUCCUUGUGAUAGUAAUUAUGUUACUCUCUUUUUGAGGACUAUGGUAGUUUCUGUAGCGAUUAUACAGAAUUUUAUGAAUCCAAAUUAGGUUUUUGAAGUCUAUUAGCAGUUUGUGAUGUUCAAAUAAGUUCUUAGGAAAGUUUCACUUGGAUUUUCUUAUUUACUUAUUUCAGUUCCAGGUGUUUUUGAAACAGAUUUGUUGGAUACCUGGUUGAUGGAGGUUGCGAAGUGGGAAAGUUUUUUGGGAGAAGAGAGCGGUUAUAAGAGCCAUGGGCAACAUGCCAAUUAUGAUGAUGAGCAAUAUUUCUAUGCUUCUGACUUGGUGCCCAAAUUGCAACACAUGUAGGGCUUUAUAAAACAAAGGACAAAAAAGAGUCUAAAUUGUUGCUUGGCUAUGUUUUUUCCUGAGCGCAUAAGAAUGCUCUGAACAUGAAAUGGUAAAUUUGCAUACAGUUUGUAUUGCAUUUUGUCCUGCUACAGAGAUGUAAGCUUUUUCAUGUUUAUUAUUUUAUUUCACCUACACUAUGCUGGUGACUUGAUGAUCACUUGUAGAGCUGACCUUAAAAAUACAAGUGCGGUUGCUAGAUGUUUGGAAGUC
Ziziphus jujuba (common jujube) is the source of this 2710-nucleotide RNA transcript. RefSeq lists it as uncharacterized. The transcript is spliced from 2 exons. The record is from RefSeq and is a predicted model, not a curated record. NCBI's taxonomy places the organism in Eukaryota, Viridiplantae, Streptophyta, Magnoliopsida, Rosales, Rhamnaceae.